GCAGACUUGUUCUGUGACUGCGUACCUUUUGUAUAAUGGGUCAGCGACUUACUUCUCAGUAGCAAGGUUAACCAUUAGGGGAGCCGUAGGGAAACCGAGUCUUAAAUGGGCGUUUAGUUGCUGGGAGUAGACCCGAAACCGGGUGAUCUAUCCAUGGUCAGUGUGAAGGUCAGGUAAAACUGACUGGAGGCGCGAACCCACUUAUGUUGAAAAAUGAGGGGAUGAACUGUGGAUAGGGGUGAAAGGCCAAACAAACCCGGAGAUAGCUGGUUCUCUCCGAAAUCUAUUUAGGUAGAGCGUCGCGUAUUACUUCUGGGGGUAGAGCACUGUUAUGGCUAGCGGGUCGUCAAGGCUUAGUAAACCAUUGCAAACUCCGAAUACCAGAAAGUAUGAGCGCGGCAGACACACUGCGGGUGCUAACGUCCGUAGUGGAAAGGGAAACAACCCAGACCGUCAGCUAAGGUCCCAAAAUUAUAGUUAAGUGGGAAACGAUGUGAAAAGGCCCAGACAGCCAGGAGGUUGGCUUAGAAGCAGCCAUUCCUUUAAAGAGUGCGUAAUAGCUCACUGGUCGAGUCGGUUUGCGCGGAAGAUUUAACGGGGCUAAACUAUAUACCGAAGCUGCGGAUCGCAAUUUAUUGCGAUGGUAGGAGAGCGUUCUGUAAGCCGUUGAAGGUGAACUGUGAGGUUUGCUGGAGGUAUCAGAAGUGCGAAUGCUGACAUGAGUAACGAUAAAGGGGGUGAAAAACCCCCUCGCCAGAAGUCCAAGGUUUCCUACGCAACGUUAAUCGGCGUAGGGUUAGUCGGCCCCUAAGGCGAGGCAGAAAUGCGUAGUCGAUGGGAAACGGGUUAAUAUUCCCGUACUUCAUAUAACUGCGAUGGGAAGACGGAGUAGGUUAGCUCAGCAAGGCGAUGGUUGUCCUUGUUCAAGCGUGUAGAAAUGGUUCUUAGGAAAAUCCGGGAACCUCUAUUUCAAGGCGUGAUAACGAGCCCUCUUUUGGGCGAAGUGAGUGAGACCAUACUUCCAGGAAAAUCCUCUAAGCUUCAGGUUAUAUGAAACCGUACCCCAAACCGACACAGGUGGACGAGAUGAGAAUUCUAAGGCGCUUGAGAGAACUCGGGUGAAGGAACUAGGCAAAAUGACACCGUAACUUCGGGAGAAGGUGUGCUCUUGUUAUGUGAUAUCACUUGCUGAUUGAGCAAAGAAGAGCUGAAAAAACUAGGUGGCUGCGACUGUUUAUUAAAAACACAGCACUCUGCAAACACGUAAGUGGACGUAUAGGGUGUGACUCCUGCCCGGUGCUUGAAGGUUAAUUGAUGAGGUUAGCGCUUGCGCGAAGCUUUUGAUCGAAGCCCAAGUAAACGGCGGCCGUAACUAUAACGGUCCUAAGGUAGCGAAAUUCCUUGUCGGGUAAGUUCCGACCUGCACGAAUGGAGUAACGACGGCCACACUGUCUCCACCCGAGACUCAGUGAAAUUGAAAUUGCUGUUAAGAUGCAGUAUACCCGCGGCCAGACGGAAAGACCCCGUGCACCUUUACUACAGCUUUGCAUUGAACUCUGAUCCUACUUGUGUAGGAUAGGUGGGAGGCUUUGAAGCUUUAACGCUAGUUAGAGUGGAGCCACCCUUGAAAUACCACCCUGGUAUGGUUGGGGUUCUAACCUUGGUCCGUAAUCCGGAUCGGGGACAAUGCAUGGUGGGUAGUUUGACUGGGGCGGUCUCCUCCUAAAGAGUAACGGAGGAGCGCAAAGGUAUCCUCAGCACGGUCGGACAUCGUGCAAUGAGCGCAAAGGUAAAAGGAUGCUUGACUGCGAGACUGACACGUCGAGCAGGUAGGAAACUAGGUCUUAGUGAUCCGGUGGUUCUGAGUGGAAGGGCCAUCGCUCAACGGAUAAAAGGUACG
RNAcentral lists this ribosomal RNA (1900 nucleotides) under marine metagenome. RNAcentral's name for it is "bacterial LSU rRNA". It matches the Rfam family "Bacterial large subunit ribosomal RNA", at positions 579 to 2467 of the family's 2925-position model. The record is from RNAcentral.